GCCAUGAACAAGGGAAACGGUGCACUGUCAGUCAGAAAGGGAAUACCGGCUUGGUAAAUGGCGAAAACCUACGAUUAUCUGUUCAAACUCUUGCUCAUAGGCGACAGCGGAGUGGGAAAGACAUGUCUCCUGUUCAGAUUCAGCGAAGACGCGUUCAACACCACCUUCAUCUCAACAAUCGGUAUUGAUUUCAAAAUCAGAACUAUCGAGCUCAACGGGAAGAAAAUCAAGCUGCAGAUAUGGGACACAGCAGGACAGGAAAGAUUUCGGACUAUCACCACGGCAUACUACAGAGGCGCUAUGGGGAUUAUGUUAGUAUAUGACAUCUCCAGUGAAAAGUCAUUUGAGAAUAUAAAAAAUUGGAUCCGCAAUAUCGAGGAGCAUGCAUCAUCUGAUGUAGAGAGGAUGAUCCUUGGAAACAAAUGUGACAUGAACGACAGGAGACAGGUGUCCAAAGAGAGAGGAGAGAAAGUCCUCGUGGUGGCGUGGUUACUCACCUCAAUCCGGGUGGCGGAGGACAAGUCUCAGUUGCCUCCGCUUCUGAGACAGUAAAUCCGUGCAUCUUAUCACAUGGCUCGCUGUGCAUGACACCGUGGAGACUCACAGCAUGUGGAGACUCAUGCUACUCUCCGUGAUCCACGCACAACUUACCACGCGCCCCAUUGAGAGCGAAAACCACUUAAUCGCGACCACGAGGAGGUUACCCUAUGUGACUGUACCCUCCCUAGCAACGGGGCCAAUUUUGAUGCAUAGGAGACCUGGCUGGAGUCACUCAGCACACCCUAGAUUCGAACUCGCGACUCCAGGGGUGGUAGUCAGCGUCAAUACUCGCUGCUACCCAGGCCCCCCAAUUUUCUUACUCUCAAUUAAUAACUCUCAGUACAAAAUGUUAUGUACAAUAACCGUAUAUGGGUCAAUAACAUGGUGCUCACUUUAUUCAAAAGUACAUUAAAUAUGGAAUUCACACAAAAAAAACUUGAAUACACUUAUACUAUGAUGUGCUUUCAAUUUCUGACUUGACAAAGUCAUUUUUAUAUUGCUUCUGGGGGAUAAAAUAUUUUUUUUAUUUUUCCCUUUUUUCACCCAAUUUGGAAUGCCCAAUCCCCAGUGUGCUUGUUUAAGUCCUUGUGGCCACAUAGUGAUUGGCCUCAAUCCGGGUGGCAGGGGACGAAUCCCAGCUGCCUCUGCGUCUGAGACCGUCAACCCGUGCAUCUUAUCACAUGGCUUGUUGAGCACGUUGCCAUGGAGACAUGGCGCGUGUGGAGGCUUCACGCUAUCCACCGUGGCAUCCACACUUAACUCACCACACCACACCACACCACACCCCCCACUGAGAACUAACCACAUUAUAGUGACCACGAGGAGGUUACCCCAUGUGACUCUACCCUCCCUAGCAACUGGGCCAAUUUGGUUGCUUAGGAGACCUGGCUGGAGUUGCUUAUCACGCCCUGGGAUUCGAACUAGCGAACUCCAGGGGUGGUAGCCAGCGUCUUUACUACUGAGCUAUCCAGGCCCCCUAAAAUCGAAUAUUUCUAAUACCGCUGUGGCCAGACAGUUUGGUGUAACCUUCCAGAGACAGUAAAAAAAUAAAAUAAAAUAAAAAAUAAAUAAAAGGAAAAAAAUUCAUUAAAAGCUGAAAUUCUUGAGAAAAUACAUUUUGGCACAUGUAGUUUGAAAUAAUCUUUUGUUAUUAUUCCUAAAAAAGCAGUGAAACACUAAUUAUUAAGCUCAGUUGACAGCAUUUGUGGCAUAAUGUUGAUUACCACAAAAGUUAAUUUUGACUUGUCUUUUCUUUAUAAAAAGCAUAAAUGGGUGGGGUAUCCAACAUGUAGGUAGCCAUUUUGUUGUCAUGAAAAAAAACAAACAAAAAAACCCCCAGAGAGGACCCCUUUUGACCCUUAUAAAUAUGUGUGAAGUUUUUUUAAUUUUUUUUUUAUUAUUCGAUAUUUUGACAUUUUUAUCAACGGGCACAUUUGGUUUAGGUCAAAUGGAGGAACCCUGAGAAAACUUUAAUACAUUUUACUUGAUGGCUACACCACUUGAUAUUUUUAAAGUCAUUAAAUAGAUUUUUUUUGGUUUUCCAAAAAUGUAUGAAACCAACAUUGGACACAAACAUUGACAUGUUUUAAACUAGGUUUUUUAAAAAGAUUUCUCAUUGUUGUCAUCUCGGACAACCAUACUUGUCAAAGACCCAUUCAGCACUUAAAAUAUGUAACAUAUUAACCUGGAUCUUUUUGUGAGAUUUUGUAAUUUACUACUUUUUGCCUUUAUUGAGAAUUACAUGCUUAUGUUUGUUAUAAAUUAUGGUGUAAUUGUUUGUGGAAGCUAAAUUUUUUUUAUUUUACUUAGUUGGCAAUAGAUUAUGGGAUAAAAUUUCUGGAAACAAGUGCAAAAACCAGUGUAAAUGUGGAGGAGGCCUUUUUCACCCUAGCCAGAGACAUCAUGGCCCGACUCAACAGGAAAAUGAAUGAUGGCGGUCAUGCAGAUGGUGGGGGG
This is an RNA transcript of Myxocyprinus asiaticus (Chinese sucker), 2496 nucleotides long. It is a transcript of the gene named ras-related protein Rab-8B-like, with no coding region annotated. The record is from RefSeq and is a predicted model, not a curated record. NCBI's taxonomy places the organism in Eukaryota, Metazoa, Chordata, Actinopteri, Cypriniformes, Catostomidae. The transcript is spliced from 7 exons.